Molecule: ribosomal RNA, 492 nt
Filed under: uncultured bacterium
Lineage: Bacteria
Description: partial 16S ribosomal RNA
Rfam family: Bacterial small subunit ribosomal RNA
Source: RNAcentral
AGUGAACGCUGGCGGCAGGCCUAACACAUGCAAGUCGAACGGCAGCACAGUAGGAGCUUGCUCUUACGGGUGGCGAGUGGCGGACGGGUGAGGAAUACAUCGGAAUCUACUUUUUCGUGGGGGAUAACGUAGGGAAACUUACGCUAAUACCGCAUACGACCUACGGGUGAAAGCAGGGGAUCUUCGGACCUUGCGCGAUUGAAUGAGCCGAUGUCGGAUUAGCUAGUUGGCGGGGUAAAGGCCCACCAAGGCGACGAUCCGUAGCUGGUCUGAGAGGAUGAUCAGCCACACUGGAACUGAGACACGGUCCAGACUCCUACGGGAGGCAGCAGUGGGGAAUAUUGGACAAUGGGCGCAAGCCUGAUCCAGCCAUACCGCGUGGGUGAAGAAGGCCUUCGGGUUGUAAGGCCCUUUUGUUGGGAAAGAAAAGCAGCAGGUUAAUACCCCGCUGUUCUGACGGUACCCAAAGAAUAAGCACCGGCUAACUUCGUG